UGUGUGAUGGUGCCAGUGUGGAGGGGUGUGUGUGUGUGUGUGCCAGAGAGAGAAACAGACAGUGCAAACGUGACUGGAGUGUCAGGAACACCGAGUUCAGACAUCGACGCCGUGUCUCUCUUCCAUUUCUUCCUCUCCUUUUCUUUCAUUUGUUCCCCCGUCUUUCCUCCCACCACCCUCCUUCAUCCUUUUCUCCUACCGUCUUUCCCUUUAUCUCCCCUCCUCUUUGUCUCUCCCUCUCUUUCCUUCAUAUGCAGCAACCCACUCAGACGUCGAUGAAUAAUUCAGUCUGUGUUGCACUGCAGGUUUCCCCCUCUCCCCAUUCCUUCCCAUUUUGCCGCCUCCCCUCUUUUCUCUCCUCCACUGCAUCAUCCCUCCUUCCUCGGCGUCAAUCCUUUCGCGAUCAAAAAGUGGCCUGAUAAUCUACAUCUCGGUUUAACAGUCGGUGUUGACGUGCGUUAAAAGCAGAGCAGAGGUACUCCGUGUGUUUAGUAUUCCGCAGCCGAAGCUACGGGGGGAUUUCUGUGCGUCUCUCCCGCCGCCCCUCCCAUCAGCCUCUCCAUCAGCAUCACUCCCCUCUCUGAUUUGCGAUCAGAAAGAUCCACCAGAAGCCCGUGUCGGAAGGGGUGAGUCACCGGCAAAGUCCGCUUGGCAACCGAGAAGCUGGUCACGCUGCGGGCUUCCAGGAAGUCAUUUGACAUUUCACAGUCUCUCCAAAACAGUUCAGACUCAUCCCACCUGCUUUCCAUGGAGGAAAAGAAAGGGAGAAAAGAAAGAAAGAAAGAAAAAGACCCCAGUCAUGAGACUCUGACACCUCUGCAUGUCUAAAACACGGCAACAGUCGUCACAGCAGCUCAUUAGCGCUGACCUGCAGGACUCUGCAGAACUUGAUAAAACGCUGAGGAGACAAUCCAACCUUUCGACUCAAGCAAGUUGGACAAAGAAGAAGCCUAAAGGUUGCAAGGAGCACUUGAGUUUGACAGUCCUGUUGUAGAAUAAUCUACAAAUCACCAAGUAAAACAAAGACUUGUAAGGUGUUUCCUAGAGAAGUAGUGAAAGGGUUUGCCAGCUUCAAAGAAAUUUGCUUGAUUCACUGCUGUUGUAUUUUAGUCACAAGACUAGGACAUACUCAAGGUCACAAUGAGUUUGUCCUUCAGUUUGACUUUAAUCCAAACUGGAAAAUCUCCAAGUCAUUCCUCUGAUAAACAUGUGAACAAUUAGUAGACAGCGUAGCUCCUACCACUGAUAAAGUCCUAAAAACAGGUGUGGUAAGAAGUAGAAUAAAAAUAAGCAGGUUGUUUUUUUGUUUUUUUUAUAACUACAUUGGUCAAAAACCAUCUUUUCUGUCUGCAUGAUGCUAGACUUGAACUGAAGUUACAUUCAAAUUGAAGUUGUUAGUCUUUUCACACUCGUCUUUUGCAUGGCGGUUGAUAGUAAAAUCCCAUUUUACAUGUUUUUUUGAAUGCUGAUUUCUUGUAGAAUAUGUCGGCCCGAACAGGAAGGCAAACUACAUACAUUUGCAAAAGUUUUCAAAUCAGCGAUAGUUACCACAUCAGACAGUAUUGUGUAUUUUAUUGAGAUUUUGUACGAGUGACAAACUACAAAGUAUCACAUACUGCAAUUGUGAAACGCCUCCAUAUAUAUCUAUUUACUAAUUCUGGCUUCUGAAAGCUUAAUUAGGUGAGCUGUUAAAGUUGAUCAAAAAUAAAUAAGUAAAGGAAAAUA
Long non-coding RNA from Xiphophorus hellerii (green swordtail), 1725 nucleotides. RefSeq lists it as uncharacterized. NCBI's taxonomy places the organism in Eukaryota, Metazoa, Chordata, Actinopteri, Cyprinodontiformes, Poeciliidae. The record is from RefSeq and is a predicted model, not a curated record. The transcript has 2 exons.